GGAGGAUGAGCUACCUGCAGUCGAGCGGAUGAAGGGAGCUUGCUCCUGGAUUCAGCGGCGGACGGGUGAGUAAUGCCUAGGAAUCUGCCUGGUAGUGGGGGAUAACGUCCGGAAACGGGCGCUAAUACCGCAUACGUCCUGAGGGAGAAAGUGGGGGAUCUUCGGACCUCACGCUAUCAGAUGAGCCUAGGUCGGAUUAGCUAGUUGGUGGGGUAAAGGCCUACCAAGGCGACGAUCCGUAACUGGUCUGAGAGGAUGAUCAGUCACACUGGAACUGAGACACGGUCCAGACUCCUACGGGAGGCAGCAGUGGGGAAUAUUGGACAAUGGGCGAAAGCCUGAUCCAGCCAUGCCGCGUGUGUGAAGAAGGUCUUCGGAUUGUAAAGCACUUUAAGUUGGGAGGAAGGGCAGUAAGUUAAUACCUUGCUGUUUUGACGUUACCAACAGAAUAAGCGCCGGCUACUUUCUUGCCAGCGGCCGCGGUAAUCCUGACGGUGCAAGCGUCUUCCCGAUUUACUGAAUUUAAACAGAGCGUCCGCUGCUCAGCGGGUCCCCACGUCAAAUCAAUUUACUCAUACCGUGGUCGGCGACCACACCUGAUGAGCAAACUUUUACUGAAGCAGGGCCUCCAAUCAUUGCCGGGAUCUCCAUCGCUUAGCUACUGCUACUUUAUUUGGAAGAUUUUUUGAACCUUUUAUUUAUCUUUAGUACAACGAGUUUACCAUCACAUUAUCCGCCUACUCUCGCG
Molecule: ribosomal RNA, 748 nt
Filed under: Pseudomonas mosselii
Lineage: Bacteria; Pseudomonadati; Pseudomonadota; Gammaproteobacteria; Pseudomonadales; Pseudomonadaceae
Description: bacterial SSU rRNA
Rfam family: Bacterial small subunit ribosomal RNA (bases 1-509)
Source: RNAcentral